ACCCCCAUGUAGUGAGUUAAGGAUUAUCUAAAGGGGGUACAGCCCCUUUAAAAAGGACACACCCUUCACUAGCGGAUAAUUUUCCCCACUUUGACCCCGUGGGCCUUAAAGCAGCCAUCCCAAAAGAGUGCGUCAAAGCUCUCUCAAUAAAAAUACAAAAACAAUAUGACUCCCUACAUUCCUAGCCGGCUAACCUAUAACAAUAGAUGAAUCAAUGCUAGAACGAGUAACCAGGACACCCUCCCCUCAAGCGCCAGUUUAUACACCAUUAACAGCCCAACCAUUAAUGCUUAGCCCCCCUCCACAAGACCAAACAUUAAACACACCCUGUUAACCCAACCCAGGAGCGCACACUAGGAUGAUUAAAAUCUACAAAAGGAACUCGGCAAACCCAAGGCCCGACUGUUUACCAAAAACAUAGCCUUCAGCUAAACAAGUAUUGGAGGUGAUGCCUGCCCAGUGACACCACGUUUAACGGCCGCGGUAUCCUAACCGUGCAAAGGUAGCGCAAUCAAUUGUCCAUAAAUCGAGACUUGUAUGAAUGGCUAAACGAGGCCCUAACUGUCUCCUGUAGAUAAUAGGUGAAACUGAUCUCCCCGUGCAAAAGCGAGGAUAAACACACAAGACGAGAAGACCCUGUGGAACUUUAAAAUCAAUAGCCACCACACACCAAUCCAAAGCCCACUCGGCUCCACCACCCACAACACUGGCUAAUAUUUUUAGAUUGGGGUGAUCUUGGAGAAAAACAAAUCCUCCAAAAAUAAGGCCAAACUCCUUAGCGAAGAGCCACCCCUCAACGCGCUAACAGCACCCAGAUCCAAUAAAAUUGACCAAUGAACCAAGCUACCCCAGGGAUAACAGCGCAAUCUCCCCCAAGAGUCCCUAUCGACGAGGAGGUUUACGACCUCGAUGUUGGAUCA
Molecule: ribosomal RNA, 920 nt
Filed under: Eolophus roseicapilla (galah)
Lineage: Eukaryota; Metazoa; Chordata; Aves; Psittaciformes; Cacatuidae
Description: Eolophus roseicapillus (galah) partial 16S ribosomal RNA
Rfam family: Bacterial large subunit ribosomal RNA
Source: RNAcentral